GACGAACGCUGGCGGCGUGCUUAACACAUGCAAGUCGAACGAAGAGCGAUGGAAGCUUGCUUCUAUCAAUCUUAGUGGCGAACGGGUGAGUAACGCGUAAUCAACCUGCCCUUCAGAGGGGGACAACAGUUGGAAACGACUGCUAAUACCGCAUACGAUCUAAUCUCGGCAUCGAGGAUAGAUGAAAGGUGGCCUCUACAUGUAAGCUAUCACUGAAGGAGGGGAUUGCGUCUGAUUAGCUAGUUGGAGGGGUAACGGCCCACCAAGGCGAUGAUCAGUAGCCGGUCUGAGAGGAUGAACGGCCACAUUGGGACUGAGACACGGCCCAGACUCCUACGGGAGGCAGCAGUGGGGAAUCUUCCGCAUUGGACGAAAGUCUGACGGAGCAACGCCGCGUGAGUGAUGACGGCCUUCGGGUUGUAAAGCUCUGUUAAUCGGGACGAAAGGCCUUCUUGCGAAUAGUGAGAAGGAUUGACGGUACCGGAAUAGAAAGCCACGGCUAACUACGU
This 509-nucleotide ribosomal RNA is filed under the name uncultured bacterium. RNAcentral's name for it is "partial 16S ribosomal RNA". It matches the Rfam family "Bacterial small subunit ribosomal RNA", at positions 28 to 506 of the family's 1533-position model. The record is from RNAcentral.